Molecule: ribosomal RNA, 222 nt
Filed under: uncultured bacterium
Lineage: Bacteria
Description: partial 16S ribosomal RNA
Rfam family: Bacterial small subunit ribosomal RNA
Source: RNAcentral
UACGAAGGGGGCGAGCGUUGUUCGGAAUUACUGGGCGUAAAGGGCGCGUAGGCGGUGCAUCAAGUCAGGCGUGAAAGCCCCGGGCUCAACCUGGGAACGGCGCUUGAGACUGGUGCGCUCGAGUUCGGGAGAGGAUGGUGGAAUUCCCAGUGUAGAGGUGAAAUUCGUAGAUAUUCGCAAGAACACCAGUGGCGAAGGCGGCUCACUGGCCCGGUACUGACG